Thalassophryne amazonica is the source of this 134-nucleotide long non-coding RNA. RefSeq lists it as uncharacterized. Lineage: Eukaryota; Metazoa; Chordata; Actinopteri; Batrachoidiformes; Batrachoididae. The record is from RefSeq and is a predicted model, not a curated record. The transcript has 3 exons.
UUGUGUAUUGUAAUUGAUACUUCAAGAGAAAGGGAAGUGUUGGCUUUUUAAACACUUGAAAGACACUGGACUCAUUGAGAGGAUUUAGUACUGCUAUAACGGACUGAUGCAGCAGAUGGCAGCAAUGCAAUAAU